RNAcentral lists this ribosomal RNA (479 nucleotides) under uncultured bacterium. Its description in RNAcentral is "bacterial SSU rRNA". It matches the Rfam family "Bacterial small subunit ribosomal RNA", at positions 359 to 833 of the family's 1533-position model. The record is from RNAcentral.
GAGAUUUUCGCAAUGCCCGAAAGGGUGACGAUGCGACGCCGCGUGGAGGAUGAAGGCCUUCGGGUUGUAAACUCCUGUCAGGACAAAAGAAGGGAAGGGGAGGAAAGUCCCCGACCUUGACUCAGUCCAAAGGAAGCCCCGGCUAACUCCGUGCCAGCAGCCGCGGUAAGUCGGAGAGGGCGAGCGUUGUUCGGAAUUACUGGGCGUAAAGGGUGCGUAGGCGGGUCCGCGUGUCAGGGGUGAAAUCCUCCGGCCCAACCGGAGAACGUCCUCUGAAACUGUGGACCUUGAGCGAAGCAGGGGGGAGUGGAACUCUCGGUGGAGCGGUGAAAUGCGUUGAUAUCGAGGGGAACGCCGGCGGCGAAGGCGACUCCCUAUGCUUCUGCUGACGCUGAAGUACGAAAGCCAGGGGAGCGAACGGGAUUAGAUACCCCGGUAGUCCUGGCCUUAAACGUUGGGCACUAAGUAGAGGGGUUUUA